GUUUAUUGGAGGGCAAGUCUGGUGCCAGCAGCCGCGGUAAUUCCAGCUCCAAGAGCGUAUAUUAAAGUUGUUGCAGUUAAAAAGCUCGUAGUUGAACCUUGGGUUUUGGAGGGAGGUCCACCUCACGGUGAGUACUUCCAUAUCCAAGACCUUUCCUCUGCUUCCUCGCAAGAGGCAGCAGAAUAUUACUUUGAGUAAAUGAGAGUGUUCAAAGCAGGCGCACGCUUGAAUCUGUUAGCAUGGAAUAAUAGAAUAGGACGCAUGGUUCUAUUUUGUUGGUUUCUAGGACCAUCGUAAUGAUUAAUAGGGACGGUCGGGGGCAUCAGUAUUCAGUUGUCAGAGGUGAAAUUCUUGGAUUUACUGAAGACUAACUACUGCGAAAGCAUUUGCCAAGGACGUUUUCAUUAAUCAAGAACGAAAGUUAGGGGAUCGAAGAUGAUCUAGAUAACCGGUGCCCAUUAACCUGCG
RNAcentral lists this ribosomal RNA (468 nucleotides) under Candidozyma auris. RNAcentral's name for it is "SSU rRNA". It matches the Rfam family "Eukaryotic small subunit ribosomal RNA", at positions 539 to 1017 of the family's 1831-position model. The record is from RNAcentral. Lineage: Eukaryota; Fungi; Ascomycota; Pichiomycetes; Serinales; Metschnikowiaceae.